CUCAAAGAAACGCCUCAAAAAAAUGCGAAGGCUGUGGUAAAUGCUAUGAAAAGGCCGAUAGCUUGAGAAUCCAUAGAAAAUAUGACUGUAAAAUGUUAGAAAAAACUGCACCGUUGUACCAAUGUGACCAUUGCAAUUAUCAGUCUGGACGAAAGUAUCAAGUUAAAAUACAUGUGUUGAAAAAACAUUCUGAGGGGUAUGAUCAGUCAGGUCUUAGAAUGACCUUGUGAAUCUUAUCUUCAGCGGUGUCCUGGGUGUUCAAAAAUGUACAAAAACUACGCUACUUUAAGGUACCAUCGGAAAUACGAAUGUGGACAGUAUGCCAAGUUUAAAUGUUCCAAAUGUCAUUAUGUUGCUAAGAGAAAGUACCAUAUCAAAUUACAUUAUAUAAGGAAACACGUGAAUGGAGAAGGACACUCGUUUUGCGAGUUAGAUUUCUAUCAGCAUGAAGGACUUUAACAAAUAAAAAUUGACAAUAAUAAAUGAUUUAUUAAAUUUGAUUAAUUAACUAUGUUGAGUUUUACCGCAGCCUGCACCAGAGUUAUUAUAUGCUUCAAUUGUGAAAAUAGUGUUUGUUGGUUUCUAAACAUUAAAUUGUUUUAG
Molecule: long non-coding RNA, 603 nt
Organism: Anthonomus grandis grandis
Lineage: Eukaryota; Metazoa; Arthropoda; Insecta; Coleoptera; Curculionidae
Exons: 2
Source: RefSeq, a predicted model, not a curated record